GAUGAACGCUGGCGGCGUGCCUAAUACAUGCAAGUCGAGCGAACAGACGAGGAGCUUGCUCCUCUGACGUUAGCGGCGGACGGGUGAGUAACACGUGGAUAACCUACCUAUAAGACUGGGAUAACUUCGGGAAACCGGAGCUAAUACCGGAUAAUAUAUUGAACCGCAUGGUUCAAUAGUGAAAGACGGUUUUGCUGUCACUUAUAGAUGGAUCCGCGCCGCAUUAGCUAGUUGGUAAGGUAACGGCUUACCAAGGCAACGAUGCGUAGCCGACCUGAGAGGGUGAUCGGCCACACUGGAACUGAGACACGGUCCAGACUCCUACGGGAGGCAGCAGUAGGGAAUCUUCCGCAAUGGGCGAAAGCUUGACGGAGCAACGCCGCGUGUGUGAUGAAGGUCUUCGGAUCGUAAAACUCUGUUAUUAGGGAAGAACAAAUGUGUAAGUAACUAUGCACGUCUUGACGGUACCUAAUCAGAAAGCCACGGCUAACUACGUG
Molecule: ribosomal RNA, 497 nt
Filed under: uncultured bacterium
Lineage: Bacteria
Description: partial 16S ribosomal RNA
Rfam family: Bacterial small subunit ribosomal RNA
Source: RNAcentral